Molecule: non-coding RNA, 540 nt
Organism: Lactuca sativa (garden lettuce)
Lineage: Eukaryota; Viridiplantae; Streptophyta; Magnoliopsida; Asterales; Asteraceae
Source: RefSeq, a predicted model, not a curated record
GCACCAUUCUCUUGAUUCAAGAGUCUUUCUCUCCUUAUCCCCCGAGCAUUUCGGUCCCUCGUGAUUCGACUUCUCUUUCUGUAGUUUUAGUAUAGUAAGGUGAGCGCUGAAGCGCUGCACGAAUCUUUCUUAGAAAGAUUCAGCGACGAAGUUCUGCCCCUGCAGAGCCCGACUCCUAGCUAAAAUCCCCUUGAAAGUUUCGUCAAAGGAAAUUAUUUUAAAGUAAACGAAGCGCUGUCCGAGUACCGAGUCACCACCUUCUCAGGUGUUGAUAUGAAGUCACAAUACACUGAGAGAUUUAAAGAGAUGUAGAUCACUAGUGUAAAUAAUUGUAAGUUCUGUUUAUGCUUAUGUUUCUGUAUUAACGAUGACAUCCCAAACGUUUUAAAAUGAAAUAAAUACGUUUCAUCGAAAAUGUUUUAAUAACGUAUUUACCAUGUUUUUCUGGGAACAAAUUCCGCAACAUUUUUAUAAAAUGAAGUACUCUGAUUUUUAUAAAGCAUAAACAAAAUCGGUCUUUUCUGGCCGUGAAAAUGGGGA